Molecule: small RNA, 118 nt
Organism: Flavobacterium branchiophilum FL-15
Lineage: Bacteria; Pseudomonadati; Bacteroidota; Flavobacteriia; Flavobacteriales; Flavobacteriaceae
Rfam family: Flavo-1 RNA
Source: Rfam
UUUUAGCAGUAAAUCAAUGCGUUAGGGAUAGAAGCGGCAUCCUUUUUUUGUAGUUGGGUAGGGCUUUUUCUGCCCUGCCCAACUACAAUAAAAGAUAUAGCGAAUAGCCCGGCCCCUU